GGGAGCGGAUCGAUUCCUGGUGGAACGCCCGGUCUUCAAAACCGGUGGGACGGGCAAAUAACCCGUUCGGUGGGUUCGAUUCCCAUGCGCUCCCGCCA
RNAcentral lists this transfer RNA (98 nucleotides) under Planctomycetota bacterium. RNAcentral describes it as "Planctomycetes bacterium tRNA-Sec". It matches the Rfam family "Selenocysteine transfer RNA". The record is from RNAcentral. Lineage: Bacteria; Pseudomonadati; Planctomycetota.